CCUUAUCUUCGUCAAAUUCCCAAAAAUUCCUAGAAACUCCAUUUUCUGAAGAGCUUUCCGCUAUUUUCCUAUUGCCUUCUGAGUUAUUUGCUGCAAAAAUGGAAAGAGAAAGAAGAAAAACAGCCACAAAUCUCGAUCUUCCAGCAUCCAUUGAUUCUUUGAUGAUUACUAGCCCUUUUCCAUGGUCCAAUCCUUCUUAAUUCAUUGAAUAAAUGCAAAAACACACAUAGCUAUAAUAUAUGACAGCUAUGCAUGCACAUACAAUGUUUUUCCUUACAAUUUCAGCCCCAAUUCAAUGCCACAAAAAAUCAGAGAAAAUAUUUAAAUCAAAUAAAAACAACAGAAUUCAGAAGAAUUCAAUGCAAAAACAUGUGAAAAUACGUUCUUUUGGCCUCAAUUUUUUCCCAUCCAACGUCACAAAAUCCCCCACAAUGUACGCAUGUAUCACUCAGUAUUCUGAAUCUUCAAUGCAAAUGCAACCCAGAAAAAGAACCCAUAAAUUUAUUUUUCAUUUUGAGGUGUCAGUUUUUUCCUUAAAAAAUGAAGAAAUAUUUAACAAUAAACAGGUUAUAUUAAAAGGGAAAAAAUAGGUAAGAUUAUUCCGAAAAUGAAUAAAUGAAAUAUAAUCUUGAAACAAAAAUCAACGGGUUCCUGAAAGCCUUUUGAAAAAUAGAAUUUUAUAGGGAGUUUUGUACGUUGGAACGUUUUAGUUUUUCCAGAGUCAAAAAGGAGAGAAACCGGAAAAUGACCAAGAAAAAAAAAAAAAAAAAAAAAAAAAAAAAGAAAGAAAGAAAAGAA
Molecule: long non-coding RNA, 798 nt
Filed under: Olea europaea (common olive)
Lineage: Eukaryota; Viridiplantae; Streptophyta; Magnoliopsida; Lamiales; Oleaceae
Description: long non-coding RNA (OEUR_LNC007906)
Source: RNAcentral